UCCCCAGUAGUUCAGUCGGUAGAACGGCGGACUGUUAAUCCGUAUGUCACUGGUUCAAGUCCAGUCUGGGGAGCCA
This 76-nucleotide transfer RNA is filed under the name Shewanella sp. RNAcentral's name for it is "tRNA-Asn". It matches the Rfam family "tRNA". Rfam says of the family: Transfer RNA (tRNA) molecules are approximately 80 nucleotides in length. Their secondary structure includes four short double-helical elements and three loops (D, anti-codon, and T loops). Further hydrogen bonds mediate the characteristic L-shaped molecular structure. tRNAs have two regions of fundamental functional importance: the anti-codon, which is responsible for specific mRNA codon recognition, and the 3' end, to which the tRNAs corresponding amino acid is attached (by aminoacyl-tRNA synthetases). tRNAs cope with the degeneracy of the genetic code in two manners: having more than one tRNA (with a specific anti-codon) for a particular amino acid; and 'wobble' base-pairing, i.e. permitting non-standard base-pairing at the 3rd anti-codon position. The record is from RNAcentral. RNAcentral also lists the same sequence under 38 other names. Lineage: Bacteria; Pseudomonadati; Pseudomonadota; Gammaproteobacteria; Alteromonadales; Shewanellaceae.